GAAAUGCGAUACUUGGUGUGAAUUGCAGAAUCCCGUGAACCAUCGAGUCUUUGAACGCAAGUUGCGCCCGAAGCCAUUAGGCCGAGGGCAGGCCUGCCAAAGCAACAAAGUGUAAUAAACAAAGGGUGGUAGGUUACCCGGGAGGCCUUGCGGCAACCCGGAUGACUACUGUAAUGAUCCUUCCGCAGGUUCACCUACGGAAACCUUGUUACGACUUUUACUUCC
Molecule: unclassified non-coding RNA, 225 nt
Filed under: uncultured fungus
Lineage: Eukaryota; Fungi
Description: sequence contains ITS1
Rfam family: 5.8S ribosomal RNA (bases 1-107)
Source: RNAcentral